CAGUAGCCACGGUAAUACGUAGGGUGCGAGCGUUACUCGGAAUUACUGGGCGUAAAGCGUGCGUAGGUGGUGGUUUAAGUCCGUUGUGAAAGCCCUGGGCUCAACCUGGGAAUUGCAGUGGAUACUGGGUCACUAGAGUGUGGUAGAGGAUAGUGGGAUUUCCGGUGUAGCAGUGAAAUGCGUAGAGAUCGGAAGGAACAUCUGUGGCGAAGGCGACUAUCUGGGCCAACACUGACACUGAGGCACGAAAGCGUGGGGAGCAAACAGGAUUAGAUACCCGCGUAGUCCCUGUCUCUUAUAC
Molecule: ribosomal RNA, 301 nt
Filed under: uncultured bacterium
Lineage: Bacteria
Description: partial 16S ribosomal RNA
Rfam family: Bacterial small subunit ribosomal RNA
Source: RNAcentral